GACAGAGGGGGCCAGCGUUGUCCGGAUUGACUGGGCGUACAGCGCGCGCAGGUGGAUGCUGACGUGCCGUGUGACAGCCAUGAGCUCAACUUAUGGUGGCCACGGUAAACGCAGCGUCUGGAGGGUGCGAGAGGCAUGUGGAAUACCCGGUGGAGCGGUGAAAUGCGUAGAGAUCGGGUGGAACACCAGUGGCGAAGGCGGCAUGCUGGCGCAUUCCUGACACUGAGGCGCGAGAGCGUGGGGAGCAAACGGG
This 253-nucleotide ribosomal RNA is filed under the name uncultured bacterium. RNAcentral's name for it is "partial 16S ribosomal RNA". It matches the Rfam family "Bacterial small subunit ribosomal RNA", at positions 524 to 776 of the family's 1533-position model. The record is from RNAcentral.